This 641-nucleotide long non-coding RNA is filed under the name Monodelphis domestica (gray short-tailed opossum). Its description in RNAcentral is "lncRNA (ENSMODG00000041293.1)". The record is from RNAcentral. Lineage: Eukaryota; Metazoa; Chordata; Mammalia; Didelphimorphia; Didelphidae.
CAGGAAGGAAGAAUCAUAGAGAUAGGAAGUGAGGUAGGGGAAGGUUAGAAUAGGGGCUGAGAGUCAGCUGAUUGGUCUGUCAAUUGAUGAUACUCAGUGGGGGGAGUAUGAUUUGAGAUCGAAAAAGGACAAAAGUGUUCACUCACCAAGAAGUUAAAAGUUAAGAAACCUAAGAAGAUGCUAUGUUUUGGAGUCUUGCAUUCUUGCAAAAGGUAUCCUUCCGGAACCCCAAAGAGUGUGGUCAUAUCCAGAUCAUCUAAUAUAGAAGAACCCACAUGGAGCUACUUUUGGUAGACUGGAGCAGUGGUGCAGGUAUGUACAUUUUGAGUUAACCUAUUAUGUAGUCAGUUGAAGCCUCUUUCCAUUGAAUACAGCGGGAAAUGCAAACAUCUUGAAAACUACAUUUAAUAUAUAGCCUUGGGAUGGCCGUGAUCUUUUUUCUGGUAUGUACAGAGGUGAAUAACUCAUUUACAGCAGAUGAAAUCAUGCAGUAAGAGAACUGAGACAUAAUGACUUCGUUCUCCAGGCCAUGCAAUCCUAAGAAACAGUUCUUGGAAUAUUGGUCUAUUCCAUUCAUCUUUUCCAAUUCCAGGUGAAGAAAGGUCCAGAUUUUUUAGCCAUGGAGUCGAGUAUUCUAGUAG